This 202-nucleotide long non-coding RNA is filed under the name Amborella trichopoda. RNAcentral's name for it is "long non-coding RNA (ATRI_LNC002921)". Lineage: Eukaryota; Viridiplantae; Streptophyta; Magnoliopsida; Amborellales; Amborellaceae. The record is from RNAcentral.
AAAACAAUUGGAAUCCAUGUUCCUAUAACCUACGGGCAAUGAAAGACCUACGCACAUUGCAAAUGACAUGGAGAGAUUUUAUCCAUAUUUCAAGGCUAUAUAAUAUUGAGUCAUUUAUAAGUAGGUACAGACAUAUAUAUUUCUUCUUGUAAUGCUACUUGCCAUUGGAUUUCUAACAAGAUUGAGUAGGAACUAUUGACGG